GAAGGGGCCUCACAGAGGUGCAGACAGGGAGUGCGUCCUGAGGCACCCUUGAACGAGUAACAGCAGGAGGCCAUGACCGUCCUCGUCCUGAAGGCGUGAGGGGCGAGAGCCCCGCCCGGACUGGGGUGUGAGGGCCCCGCCACCAAUGCAGGAGCUACCGCAGCCGGAAGCAGCAGAGCCCAGGAGGAAACACCCCAAACCCUCUCUCCUCCCAUUCGGGCCUCCUCUCGGCCUCUCCCGACCAUCAUCAAGAAUACGGGAGCCUGGGAUGACAUCCCUAGAGUUCUCAGCUGAGAGAGAUACUGCUUGCUGGCCACGUGACUGAGUCCCUUGGAAGUGAAUCAGCCAAUCGUCCGCUGAGCUGCCCGAGCACCCCGAUGGAGCAAAGAUGAGCUAGAUUAUAGAUCUCACUUAGUCUGACACAUCCUGAGGCCCAGAAAACCUUGCGUGUGGACACGAGGAACGGAUGGACCGGAUGGACCGGACGGGUGGUGAUGGUACUGGUCGUCCCACACCCUCUGCCUUGUCAUUUCCACCCCACCUUCCAGAAGGGACCGUGAUUCGGCUCAUGACUCUCCUGGAGCCUGCCUUGUGGGUGACGCUGACUCAGGACCUGGCACAUGGCAGGAGUUUCCACUGACACCCUCUGCAUUCGCUCCCGGGAACGUGGAUUUGCCGGCCUCCCCACCCCGGACCUGCUGGAGUCACGCCCCUGGGAGCACAGAGACCCCACUGGAUGCAUCUCAGCAGCCCCCUCCCCGCCCAACGCCAUGCAUGUGCUCCCACACACGUGGACGCACAUGCAUGAGACAUGCACACACGCAUAUACAGACACACAUAGACAUACACACACACACACACAGCCCACACGAACCACAGACACAGACAUGCACGCAGACGCAUACACAUAACUCCCGCCCCGCCCGCUGGGGUGCUUUACACAUCCCUUAGUCAGUGAUUAAGACACAUUUACUAAAUAAUAAAUGAGUGCAAACUCUCAGAUCCAGGAAGCCAGAGCGCGGCUGGGCCCUGCCCGUCUGCAGCCUCCCUGGCCCCCAAGCUGCCUGCAGUCUGCCGGAGGGAGAGACCACGCAGAGUGGGGGUGCCCCGCUGCCUCUAAUGGACCCCCCCCCACCCUCCGUCUGGCGGGCUCGCGAGCACUCUGGGUCCAAACCGGCCGGUCCACACAUACGGAGUCCAGCGAGCCUGCAGCCCUGUCCUCUGUGGUCUGGCCCACCCAGCCCAGCUGGGCUGCUCCCUGGCUCAACUUGAACUUGGCUCUUUCCAGAUACAGCGUGGUUCACAGGGAGGAGCCGGCAGCCCACACUCGUGCUGUCUGGAGUCGUCAGUCGCCUCUUGGGAGUCUGGUCACACACUCACUGGAGAAAGGAAGGGCUCCCUCCCUCCCUCGAGUUGGGUUGAGGGGUUGAGGGUUGGAGGGAGGCUGUGCUGAGCCCUCAAAUGUUGGGGCUCAGAUGGCUUAUUGAAAGCAAGACUCAGUCCUGGCCCAGCCAGAAAGAAGUGAUGAGUUCGGGGUUCUAUGGUAAGUGGAUGGCAGAGUGACCCCAAAUCUGGGGCUGUUUCCACAAGGCUGACUUCUUUUUUAAUGUGUGUUUUUGAGAGAGACAGAGAGAGAGUGCGUGCGUGUGUGAGUGAGCGGGGGAGGUGCAGAGAGAGAGGGGACAGAGGAUUCGAAGUGGUCUCUGUGCUCACAGCAGAGAGCCUGAUGCGGGGCUUGAACUCGUGAACUAUGAGAUCAUGACCUGAGCCAAAGCUGGACACUUAACCGACUGAGCCACCCAGAUGCCCCCACAAUGCUGAUGUCUCAAAUCUAGGUGAGCUCCAAGGACCUGGGGAGGGGGGCCCUGGGGCCUGUUGGAGGCCAAGGGGUGACUGCAGAGAGUCCUGGAGGACGGGGGGCCUGGGGCCCCCGUCUCCUCAGCUUCCUGCAGUCUCUCGGGCCCCACCCCAGAGCCAGGCUCUAGGCUGUGGCUUCAAACUCUUGCCUCCUGCCCAACUGCCAACUGUUCCCUCUGGGAAUGCUCUGUGCCCUCGGCUGCCAGCGUUCCUGGCAUGACGUUUCUCUGGUGCCGGGAGGAAAAGGGCCACAUGGUCCCCAUAUGCCACCGGGGUGGGAAGUUUACGCGGAACAGCUGAGCUGGCUUCUCCUUCUUCCCUCAGCAGACUUCCCUGCCUCUCUUCUCUUUGUCUUCCUCGGGGGACCUCCCGCUCCCGACCAAGAAGGAGAUAAAAUAGCAUGUUUUAGCAUUUGCAGGGCCGCCUGACUUUCCGACGCUUGUCCACACGCACUGGUUUCGAUUAAGCAAACACGCACGCUCUAAAAUCAAACAGGCACAUAUCCUUCGCCAGUACCUGCAGGGCCAGGUAAAGUCCUGGGAGGAUGAUAAGAUUUAUCCCCAUGCUAUCAACUGAGGAACCGAGCCCAGAGGCUCUGGCGCAGGAAGGAAAUCGGAGUGCACCUCGGCCCCACCAUCAGUUCCACUUUGAGGAUCCAACGUGUGGUGCCCUUUCUGGUUUCACUGGAAAUCCCUCCUCCAGCAAAUCCUGUGCUCCACCAAAUACCACACCACGAGGCUUGACGUGUUUGCCCCUGCUCCUUCCCCUGGAAUACUCUAGUCUCCUUCUCCCAGAAGAGAUCCUACCCACUCUCCAAUAUUCAUCUCCAAGGAUGCCUCCCUCAGGAGAUCUUCCAAGAUUGCGCCUAGCUCUACCCCUUUCGGCAAAGAAUUAACCAUUUCCUUUCUUCCCACAAAACUUGAUUUGCUACCCCCUUUCACACACAUUGCAUUGUCUUCCUUGUCUGAAGAUGUGUCGAGUGAGGG
This is a long non-coding RNA of Felis catus (domestic cat), 2843 nucleotides long. RefSeq lists it as uncharacterized. The transcript has 5 exons. The record is from RefSeq and is a predicted model, not a curated record. NCBI's taxonomy places the organism in Eukaryota, Metazoa, Chordata, Mammalia, Carnivora, Felidae.